ACUCCUACGGGAGGCAGCAGUGGGGAAUAUUGGACAAUGGGCGCAAGCCUGAUCCAGCCAUGCCGCGUGAGUGAUGAAGGCCCUAGGGUUGUAAAGCUCUUUCACCGGUGAAGAUAAUGACGGUAACCGGAGAAGAAGCCCCGGCUAACUUCGUGCCAGCAGCCGCGGUAAUACGAAGGGGGCUAGCGUUGUUCGGAUUUACUGGGCGUAAAGCGCACGUAGGCGGACUAUUAAGUCAGGGGUGAAAUCCCGGGGCUCAACCCCGGAACUGCCUUUGAUACUGGUAGUCUUGAGUUCGAGAGAGGUGAGUGGAAUUCCGAGUGUAGAGGUGAAAUUCGUAGAUAUUCGGAGGAACACCAGUGGCGAAGGCGGCUCACUGGCUCGAUACUGACGCUGAGGUGCGAAAGCGUGGGGAGCAAACAGGAUUAGAACCCCUGUAGUCCCAU
RNAcentral lists this ribosomal RNA (446 nucleotides) under uncultured organism. RNAcentral describes it as "partial 16S ribosomal RNA". It matches the Rfam family "Bacterial small subunit ribosomal RNA", at positions 335 to 798 of the family's 1533-position model. The record is from RNAcentral.